Molecule: transfer RNA, 72 nt
Filed under: Metschnikowia sp. 04-218.3
Lineage: Eukaryota; Fungi; Ascomycota; Pichiomycetes; Serinales; Metschnikowiaceae
Description: tRNA-Arg
Rfam family: tRNA
About the family: Transfer RNA (tRNA) molecules are approximately 80 nucleotides in length. Their secondary structure includes four short double-helical elements and three loops (D, anti-codon, and T loops).
Source: RNAcentral
UAUCUUAUAGUUCAAUGGUUAGAACAUUACUCUUCUAAAGUAAUUAUUUUGGUUCGAUUCCAAAUGAGAUAA